AUUGAACGCUGGCGGCAUGCUUUACACAUGCAAGUCGGACGGCAGCACAGAGAAGCUUGCUUCUUGGGUGGCGAGUGGCGAACGGGUGAGUAACAUAUCGGAACGUACCGAGCAGUGGGGGAUAACUAAUCGAAAGAUUAGCUAAUACCGCAUAUAUUCUGAGGAAGAAAGCAGGGGACCAUUUGGCCUUGCGCUGUUUGAGCGGCCGAUAUCUGAUUAGCUAGUUGGUGGGGUAAAGGCCUACCAAGGCGACGAUCAGUAGCGGGUCUGAGAGGAUGAUCCGCCACACUGGGACUGAGACACGGCCCAGACUCCUACGGGAGGCAGCAGUGGGGAAUUUUGGACAAUGGGCGCAAGCCUGAUCCAGCCAUGCCGCGUGUCUGAAGAAGGGCUUCGGGUUGUAAAGGACUUUUGUCAGGGAAGAAAAGGAUAGGGUUAAUACCCCUGUCUGAUGACGUACCUGAAGAAU
RNAcentral lists this ribosomal RNA (469 nucleotides) under Neisseria pharyngis. Its description in RNAcentral is "bacterial SSU rRNA". It matches the Rfam family "Bacterial small subunit ribosomal RNA", at positions 30 to 487 of the family's 1533-position model. The record is from RNAcentral. Lineage: Bacteria; Pseudomonadati; Pseudomonadota; Betaproteobacteria; Neisseriales; Neisseriaceae.